AUGAGGCAUCCAUCCCCGAGGGCAGCGAGCCGAACCUGGGCGGAGCCGCCGCCAGGGGGCGUACCGGCGAGGGGCUGCGUCCACCUUGCCGUCGAGUGCCUCCUCCCCUCCGGCCGCCCCGAUUCCCUCUUCAUCCUCCAGCUCCAGCCCAACCCCGACACCCCGGACGUCAAGCGGGCCUUCCGUCACCUCGCCAACCUCCUGGCCCCUCGGCGUGAUCCCCAUCCCCGGCUGACACCGCCCUUCGCGCCGUUGAAGAGGCCAUCGCCCACCUCUUCGAGAGCGCCUCCACCAGCGCCGGUUUCGCUCCUGCUGCUCCCGGCGGCGUCUCCGUCCUAG
This 339-nucleotide ribosomal RNA is filed under the name Triticum aestivum (bread wheat). Its description in RNAcentral is "partial small subunit ribosomal RNA". The record is from RNAcentral. Lineage: Eukaryota; Viridiplantae; Streptophyta; Magnoliopsida; Poales; Poaceae.